Molecule: ribosomal RNA, 777 nt
Filed under: uncultured Neocallimastigales
Lineage: Eukaryota; Fungi; Neocallimastigomycota; Neocallimastigomycetes; Neocallimastigales
Description: partial large subunit ribosomal RNA
Rfam family: Eukaryotic large subunit ribosomal RNA
Source: RNAcentral
UUAUCUCUGUAGAGUCUGCAUAUCAAUAAGCGGAGGAAAAGAAACUAACAAGGAUUCCCCUAGUAACGGCGAGUGAAGCGGGAAGAGCUCAAAUUUGAAAUCUUCAAGGUUUGACCUUGACGAAUUGUAGUUUAAAGAAGUGUUUUCUGUUAGAUGAGUAGUAAAAGUUCUUUGGAAUAGGACAUCAUAGAGGGUGAGAAUCCCGUAUUUGACCUAUUCAUUUCUAGCUUUGUGAUACACUUUCAAAGAGUCGGAUUGUUUGGGAAUGCAGUCCAAAAUGGGUGGUAAAUUUCAUCUAAAGCUAAAUAUUGGCGAGAGACCGAUAGCGAACAAGUACCGUGAGGGAAAGAUGAAAAGAACUUUGAAAAGAGAGUUAAACAGUACGUGAAAUUGUCAAAAGGGAAGCGUUUGACACCAGUGUUGUUUUUCCGAAAAUCAAUUAAAAAUGGAUUCAUGCUAAGUUGUAUUGACCUUAUCAGCUUGCAAUUUAGUUUUGGGUUUCUUUUUGAUGCACUUUUCGGUUAACAAGUCAACAUCAAUUUCCUUUGCUGUAAAAAGGCAGGAGGAAGGUGGCUUCAAUUUCGGUUGAAGUGUUUAUAGCCUUCUGUCUCUGCAGUCGGGGAGAUUGAGGUCCGCAGCGUAGAUCCUUCGGGGCUAGAUACAUUCGUGCUAAGUUAUAGCCUUUUAUAGACAACUUGUUGACUAUGAUUGGUCUUGUAAUUUACUCGCGAGUGCUAUUUUACCUACGCUUAGGAUGUUGAUCUACAGAGCGAGAGU